GGAGCCAAGAAGACAGCAGCGACAAUUGAUACAAAGGUUUCAGAUGUUUAAAUGAGAAGAGGUACCUAGCUAGGCUUUGCAUGUCAUUGUCACCUCUACCAACUGCUAGCUACUGCUUACAGUUUAAACUUUAAAGUCGAGAAAUAUGUCUUUAUGGCUUAACUUUGGCAUGUGUGAAAUGGCAAAUCAAUCACAGAAUGCCAUUGUCUACAGUACACAUUACCAACACUGUACACAGUGAACAAUUUCCUCUGGCAUUUGGAAGAAGACAACAGUUGUGGAGACUGCCUGCUCUCACUCAGGUUGAAUUCAGGUUGAAUUCCUCUCUGUCAGCAUACCCCGACAAGGAAGAAUCUUGUUUGGGGGUGAAUUCUUCAACCUCAAAAAGGCUGUGGUUGUUCCCCAGGAAAGGGGUAGCUGUCGGUGAUUGGGGGGGGGGUUUGCUUCCCCUGAAGUGGAGCAGUUCAAAGACCUCUGGGGGCUUCAUCUUUCCACAAACACCUGGGAACAGAUCAAUGUGUGUCUGUAACCAAGGGUUCCAGAUGCUCCCUCUGGUAGGAGUGGCCAUCGUAUGGUCCUGAGUAAGAGACAGCUGCUGGUGUUUGGAGGUUUCCACAAAAGUGCCAGGACCUGAGCCCAAGGACCGUGCCCCAGGACGACCUGACAUGAUGACUCCUUGCUGUCCCCAGUCCACCUGACUGUGCUGCUGCUCCAGUUUCAACUGUUCUGCCUUAUUAUUAUUCGACCAUGCUGGUCAUUUAUGAACAUUUGAACAUCUUGGCCAUGUUCUGUUAUAAUCUCCACCCGGCACAACCAGAAGAGGACUGGCCACCCCACAUAGCCUGGUUCCUCUCUAGGUUUCUUCCUAGGUUUUGGCCUUUCUAGGGAGUUUUUCCUAGCCACCGUGCUUCUACACCUGCAUUGCUUGCUGUUUGGGGUUUUAGGCUGGGUUUCUGUACAGCACUUUGAUAUGUCAGCUGAUGUACGAAGGGCUAUAUAAAUAAAAUAAAUAAAAAAGAAUAAAUAAAUACAUUUGAUUUGAUUUGAUACAGCUCCAGCUGUCAGUAAAGGGAGAGUGUAGGUUACUGGAUAGGGCAGGCCAUUUUGUGGUCAUUAUGAAAACAUUCUCCAGUUCCAGUACCUAGAGGGAAAAAGUUUGAGGACAGAGAGAUAAGAGCAACAUAAUAUUCAAUGAUGUCUAAUUUUUGUAAAAUGAAGCCUGUUUCUUUGUGAUGUUUUCUGUCCUUAGAUAUGGAAUCCUGUGAAAGCCUGAUUGCAGAUGAAGAGCGAGGUCCUAAUGAAUGACCCAAACGACUAAGGGUAUAUCCUCAAUGCCAUGGGUUAUAUAUGUAAGCCUACCUAUUUUAGCAAAUGUUGUAUAAAGAAAUACAGUUAAACAUCACACACAAUGUACUGUAUAAACCUAUUACAAUUGGAGCAGGUGUCAUGUUCUGACCUUUAUUUCCUUUGUUUUGCAUUUAUUUAGUAUGGUCAGGGCGUGAGUUGGGUGGGCAGUCUAUGUUUGUUUUUGUAUGUUUUGGGGUAUUUCUAUGUUUCGGCCUAGUAUGGUUCUCAAUCAGAGGCAGGUGUCAUUAGUUGUCUCUGAUUGAGAAUCAUACUUAGGUAGCCUGGGUUUCACUGUGUGUGGGUGAUUGUUCCUGUCUCUGUGUUUGCACCAGAUAGGACUGUUUUUGGUUUUUGCACAUUUAUUGUUUUGUUAGUUAUUUCAUGUAUAGUUCCUUCAUUAAAGAACAUGAAUAACCACCACGCUG
Long non-coding RNA from Oncorhynchus keta (chum salmon), 1772 nucleotides. RefSeq lists it as uncharacterized. The transcript has 5 exons. Lineage: Eukaryota; Metazoa; Chordata; Actinopteri; Salmoniformes; Salmonidae. The record is from RefSeq and is a predicted model, not a curated record.